This 253-nucleotide ribosomal RNA is filed under the name uncultured bacterium. RNAcentral describes it as "partial 16S ribosomal RNA". It matches the Rfam family "Bacterial small subunit ribosomal RNA", at positions 524 to 776 of the family's 1533-position model. The record is from RNAcentral.
UACAGAGGUCCCAAGCGUUGUUCGGAUUCAUUGGGCGUAAAGAGCGUGUAGGCGGUUCGGUAAGUCGGCUGUGAAAGUCCAGGGCUCAACCCUGGGAUGCCGGUCGAUACUGCCGGACUAGAGUUCGGAAGAGGCGAGUGGAAUUCCCGGUGUAGCGGUGAAAUGCGCAGAUAUCGGGAGGAACACCUAUGGCGAAGGCAGCUCGCUGGGACGUUACUGACGCUGAGACGCGAAAGCGUGGGGAGCAAACAGG